AUGACACACCUGCCCGAGAAGGGCUGUGGGGUUGGGACACUCACCCCGGGAACUGUUUCUUCCCUCCUGCCUCCCCGAGCAAACCGGACACUCGCGGAGCUGCGGAGAGGCCACGUCCUGCUGCCCCCCGCCCCCCGGGCUCCCUCACGACCUGGGGCCUUGAGCACCUGCCACACCGACGGCCGGCCAUGCGCUGAUCACGCCAGGCUUGGGGGCCCCCGCCCCCCCACCAGCUCCCGCUCCUCCUCUGGGUUUCAGCUGAAACACCACCUGGAGACAGAAGCUUUCCAGGACCCGGAGACGCCCCAGCUGGGGUGGGGCCGCGCUGGGCCGACCGGUGGGCAGAGCUUCCGGAACAGAGAGGGAGGGCAGCACCUGGCCACGCACAGGCAGACGGGGUUGCCUUCCCGCGACUUGAUAACCUCGUUGAAAGAACCUGUCAUUGAUCCAACGGUUGACCCCAAGUUACAAUUUCUGAGGAUAUGGUUGUUGGUCAAGGCAAAGGAAGAACAGGAGGGGAGGAGGCUGCUACAGAGCAUCCCACUUCCAAGAGCCUCAGAAGUCCUGAAAAGCCCCACCGCGGCUCACGGAUGAGCCAGAAAGGUCCUUGGACUCGCCCAAGCUCCCGUGGUGAGGACCCGAGACCCCAGACUCCCGUGAGAACACCUGUCUUCCAGGAAGGUACAGGAAUUACAAAUGCCGGAGGCAAACUUCCUGGGAACCCAACCAGAGCCCCGCAUUUCAGCAAAAGUCAUCACGUAUGAAGCGGUGCCAACAUGCGGAGCCUCAAAACCCAUUUUAAUAAAAGCAGAAGAAAUAGAAGACCCAGACCCCGCUCAACCAGCCCGCUGACGGGACCUCAGGAUAAACGCUCUCAAAUAAGGAGGGAUGAGAUACUCUGGUUUCAUCACCUGGGUAUCGGCAGUCAGCUCUAACACAAUCUGGGUGCUCUGUGGCCACGUUUCUUUUCCUUCCCUCCUCUCGGCCUGUCUCUUCCUACUUACAGGACCCAUGAGCCACUUGUUCUAUACCCAAGGGACUUUGGGAACAGGUAGGUGAGGAAGGCCAAGGACGUAAGGUAGGC
RNAcentral lists this long non-coding RNA (1084 nucleotides) under Canis lupus familiaris (dog). Its description in RNAcentral is "lncRNA (ENSCAFG00030018528.1)". Lineage: Eukaryota; Metazoa; Chordata; Mammalia; Carnivora; Canidae. The record is from RNAcentral.